AUGAAAUAUGAAUAUAAACCGUAGACAGUAGGUACCCAAUGGGUUUAAAGAAAGCCUGCCGAGGUAAUUUUCUAUAGAUUUAAGGAAAUUAUUGAACCUCUCUAUGUCUACGGCAGAGAGGUUCUGUUAUUUUUAAC
This is a regulatory RNA element of Geosporobacter ferrireducens, 137 nucleotides long. It matches the Rfam family "Ribosomal protein L10 leader". From Rfam's summary of the family: This family is a putative r-protein leader autoregulatory structure found in B. subtilis and other low-GC Gram-positive bacteria. It is located in the 5' untranslated regions of mRNAs encoding ribosomal proteins L10 and L12 (rplJ-rplL). The record is from Rfam. NCBI's taxonomy places the organism in Bacteria, Bacillati, Bacillota, Clostridia, Peptostreptococcales, Thermotaleaceae.